GCUUUACACAUGCAAGUCGAACGGUAACAGGUCUUCGGAUGCUGACGAGUGGCGAACGGGUGAGUAAUACAUCGGAACGUGCCCGAGAGUGGGGGAUAACGAAGCGAAAGCUUUGCUAAUACCGCAUACGAUCUCAGGAUGAAAGCAGGGGACCGCAAGGCCUUGCGCUCACGGAGCGGCCGAUGGCAGAUUAGGUAGUUGGUGGGAUAAAAGCUUACCAAGCCGACGAUCUGUAGCUGGUCUGAGAGGACGACCAGCCACACUGGGACUGAGACACGGCCCAGACUCCUACGGGAGGCAGCAGUGGGGAAUUUUGGACAAUGGGCGCAAGCCUGAUCCAGCCAUGCCGCGUGCAGGAUGAAGGCCUUCGGGUUGUAAACUGCUUUUGUACGGAACGAAAAGACUCUGGUUAAUACCUGGGGUCCAUGACGGUACCGUAAGAAUAAGCACCGGCUAACUACGUGCCAGCAGCCGCGGUAAUACGUAGGGUGCGAGCGUUAAUCGGAAUUACUGGGCGUAAAGCGUGCGCAGGCGGUUAUGUAAGACAGAUGUGAAAUCCCCGGGCUCAACCUGGGAACUGCAUUUGUGACUGCAUAGCUAGAGUACGGCAGAGGGGGAUGGAAUUCCGCGUGUAGCAGUGAAAUGCGUAGAUAUGCGGAGGAACACCGAUGG
This 672-nucleotide ribosomal RNA is filed under the name uncultured beta proteobacterium. RNAcentral describes it as "bacterial SSU rRNA". It matches the Rfam family "Bacterial small subunit ribosomal RNA", at positions 46 to 715 of the family's 1533-position model. Lineage: Bacteria; Pseudomonadati; Pseudomonadota; Betaproteobacteria. The record is from RNAcentral.